RNAcentral lists this unclassified non-coding RNA (684 nucleotides) under Hevea brasiliensis (rubber tree). The record is from RNAcentral. Lineage: Eukaryota; Viridiplantae; Streptophyta; Magnoliopsida; Malpighiales; Euphorbiaceae.
AGAAUCCACGCGAUCAAUAUUUGAAGAUAAUUGCCUCCUGGUACUUCUGAUUGAUGCAUAAACAUUUUCAAGUUGUUGGGCUAUAGAAGUGCAAGCAUCGGAUAAACCUCGUCUUGUUGCAAACAUCAUGUCUGGAAGNGCCCUUCCACCAAACAUAGCCAUAUCCAAAUACACCCACGACAACAAUUAUACCAUAUUUACUUGCACCUGCACCUGUCCCGCUUGCAGUUACAAUUGUAACUGAUCUGUUUGAUGCUAACAUUUGCAGCUCCUNNNNNNNUAACCUGAGCCAUCAAAGAAUCAUUAUGUGGCUUGCCAAUUGAUGAGGUAGAAUCAUCUUUUCUAAUUUGCUUAAAAGCAAUCUUGAAUGCACCUGAAACCAAAUCAGACACAUUUGACAAGCGCCCCUCUUUUGCAAGAACUGAGCCAAUAAUACCUGCACCAACAAGGAUGGUUAACUUGCCGAGGGGGAGAGCCAUGGCCAGUGAUUCUUCUUUAAAAAAAAAUCAAUAGAUACAAUAUCAAUUAUAUCUAUAGCCCAUAGAAAUCAAUGCACAUCGCAGCUAUUGAGUAUCAGCCAAGUCUCUAAUUGGAAAAAUAGGUGAACGAGAAAGGAUUCUCUCUGUGUGAGAGUGGGUUUUGUAUCGGGUUUCAGUGUCCUAGUGGGAAUUGAAUAGAGCCGAG